Molecule: unclassified non-coding RNA, 2822 nt
Organism: Vigna unguiculata (cowpea)
Lineage: Eukaryota; Viridiplantae; Streptophyta; Magnoliopsida; Fabales; Fabaceae
Source: RefSeq, a predicted model, not a curated record
AUGUUUCCAUUUCCCAUUUCUUUCGUACAUUCCCUUUCCUUAACACGGUUCCUCGUUUUCAACAUAGUUCAUUGUCUUGUCACUCCCGCUUCCCAACAGUCACCGUCACUGUACGAAGUUACCGUCUCCGUCACCGUGCGAAGUCGCUGUUGCCGUUGCCGUCACCGUGUUAAGUCGCCUCAUCACGGUCGCGUGUUGUUUCUGUGCUCUUCGUCUGCUAGCAUCACUGUCGCAUUUCGUCCACAUCUCUUAUAUGUUUUCUCCAUUUGAAGGAUCGGCUAAACUCCAGGGCUCAGAAUCUGGAUGGCUAUUUUGCUACUCAGCGGAUUGAUUUUGGAAUGUGCCACAAAAUGAAUUCGGUAUCUACUAUUCGUAAUGAUUAUUACUGCAACAAGCAUGGCAUCCAAGACCCGGGACAGUUGAACUCAAUUGCAUCCAUCCAUGAUCCCUGUUACAUGGCCCCACAAAGGAUGUAUGAGAUGGGACCCAAUACAUGCAGCAAUCCUAUAAAGUCAGCAAGUCAUUUCCAUUUAAGUGGAUCAAUAAAAAAUGGAGAGAAGGAUUUUCUGUCACUGCUAUGGCGACUGCUGGGAGUAGGUGUCCUGUGGUGCUGGAUAUUCAGACCAGGUUGUGGAACUUGAUUUCCUGUAUCCUAGUGAAGGCAUUCAUCGUAGGUGGGACAAUGGUUACCGCAUCACUUCAACUGCUGCCACUUGGGACCAAGCUGCUUUUGUUCUUAGUGUCCUAAGAAGAAAACUGGCUGAUGAAACUCAAGAGACACUCCGCACAUCUGCCUUUCCUAGUAGUCACGUCAAGGAAAAAUGGUCAAAAAAUAUCUAUAUUGCAUCAAUAUGCUAUGGGAGAACAAUUUCAUGAAUUGAGAAGUUUUAAGAUUUCAGUUGACUUUUGACUUUUUGCAUCAAAGUUUCUGUUCUUAGAUGUGCCAUUUUGGAAUCUGGAAUCAUAUAUGAUGAGUUCGCUGAACAAAGCCAUUCAGUAUUGAUAGAAAUGUCCGGCGACACACCAUUUGGUGACCUUCCACCUUCACAAGGUGGGGACAAGAUUCAUACAUGUACCAAAAAAAAUGGUAGGCGUGGAACUAGGUUGAAAGAGUUAACAGUUAGUUAUAGUGCAGAUCAGAGAUUGCCUAUCCAAUUUGAUAUGCAAACUGGUAAAGCUUUGGGAGAUAAUAGCACAAAAUUCACCAGCUAUGUGGCCUUGCUUGGUAGGAGCAAAUCAUCCAUUCUUAUAGAUGAUUGGGACCAUGUUCUAGACACAGUAAAGAAUCAGAUUUGGCUAAGUGUUCAAGUCACAUAUGAUGUCCCAAACAGUAAUAUGUUGAGGACGAAAUGGAUUUCAUUUGCUGGGGAACGAUGGAAGGGUUUUAAGACGAACCUUACAAGUAGUUAUAUCUAUGGUCCCUUAAGUGAUAGAAACCCUUGUGAGAAGUAUCCGUUCCUUGAUGAAGACAUAUGGCAGGCUUUUAAGGAAAGGCGAUUAAAUCCUGUUUUUCAGGCUAAGAGGAAAGCUGCACAAGAGAUAGCAAAAAAGAAUGUCCACCCCCAUAGAUUGUCUCGUGGGGGUUAUGAUAAAUUGGAGCAGAAGAUGAUGAAAGAGGCAUGUAUUUGUUUAAGCCUAAUUAUAUUGUCUUAUUUAUUUUACAAAUAUUAUUUGGUUACCUUAGGUAAAAUGUAUGCAUUAGGGUCAACCAUACACCAUGCAACCAUUGUAGAUGAUAAGAUGAGAGUAGUGGUUGUAGAUGUUUGAGAUGCUACUGCUCGAGUCCCAGUGCCCACUCAAGAGGUUAAGAUAGUGGGGCAGGCCCCUGGAAAUUUUAUCCUUUGGCCAGUUAUAUUAGCAAAAGUAAUUGCAAAGGAGAUUAGAGUACAAGAAAAGGAAGAUGUGAAUGAAUCAUUACCACAACAGACAAUUCUAGAACGACUUGGUGCAAUGGCAGCGACUAUUGCCUUGCAACCUAUACAAUUAUAAAUGCCUCCCCAAGCCACAAAUAGGACCUUCAACACCUCUUUUUUUAUAUGUCAAAAGGAUAUUUUUGAAGUUCUCUCUGGCACUGAUAUGUUAUGUAUAUCAGUAAUACAACUUUGGUUGUUGUAUUUACAUCAUAGAUGCACUGAGAAGAAGAAUGAUCACAUAUAUGGAUUUAUUGAUCCUAUUGCAAUUCAAGGCGUUGGGAAUAAAAAUGAAGAGGUUCAAAAGUACCUAUUAGAGGCAUUUGAUGUUGGGAAAAAAGAAGUGUACUUAGCGCCGUAUUUGCAACAGGGUCACUGGCAGUUGCUGGUAAUUCUUCCUCAGAAUUUUGUUGUGGUUCUUUUGUGUUCAUUACACAAGAAACCUAACGCUUUGAAAAUUAAAAGUAGUUUACAAGCAGUGGUUGAGGCUCAUUCUAGGUUGCAGGGACAACAGAUCACUUCUAAAAAGAAGUUGUAGUUCAUUGUGCCAACUUGCUCACGUCAAUCGGGAAGCUAUGAGUGUGGAUAUUAUACCAUGAGGCACAUGUAUAGAAUCAUAUCCGUAAACAUUGUUGACUCAUGGGAUAUGAUUUUCAAUGACACAUCUCCAAUGGAUCAAGGAGUCUUAAAGGAAGUUCGUGAGCAGUGGGCUUCGUUUCUUUUAAGUGUUUAUAUAAAAUGAUGUUAGGUGUUUUAUGACUUAUAUAGCAAUUCGUUUUGGAGUAGUAUUAUAUUUCAUAUAAACAUUAGAUUCUAUUUCACAUAAAUAUUAGAUUGAAGGAGAUUUGUUUUCUGAAUAUUUUGGGUAAUUAUAUACAGUAUAUGAGAUGAUGUUAGGUGUUUUAUGACUUA